RNAcentral lists this ribosomal RNA (255 nucleotides) under uncultured bacterium. RNAcentral describes it as "partial 16S ribosomal RNA". It matches the Rfam family "Bacterial small subunit ribosomal RNA", at positions 524 to 776 of the family's 1533-position model. The record is from RNAcentral.
UACGUAGGGUGCAGGCGUUUAAUCGGAAUUACUGGGCGUAAAGCGUGCGCAGGCGGUUUUGUAAGUUUGUCGUGAAAUCCCCGGGCUCAACCUGGGAAUGGCGAUGAAGACUGCAAGGCUAGAAUCUGGCAGAGGGGGGUAGAAUUCCACGUGUGAGCAGUGAAAUGCGUAGAGAUGUGGAGGAGCACCGAUGGCGAAGGCAGCCCCCUGGGUCAAGAUUGACGCUCAUGCACGAAAGCGUGGGGAGCAAACAGG